GUAGCGCAGCUGGGCCGCGCGCUGUGGGGGCUGGGCUCCCUCACCCUUGUCCUUGCCCUCACCACCGUGCUCCACCUGCCGGCCGCCGGACCUGUCUUCGCCCACUACAAGGCAGCAUAUUAUACCAUCCUCGCCUUUGUCCUCUUCAUCGCCGUUCCGGUGGAGCUGGCCACCGCUUUCUGUCUGCCGCGCUGCAGCGACGGGUGCCGCCUCCUUGGCUUCGCCAGGGGCCUCCUGCCCUGCGCUUACGUGCUGCUCCUCGUCGUCAUCUCCGUGGGAAUGGUUUUCUUGGAAGUUAGCUAGUCUUGCAACAUUUCAACUUCAAGGAAAUGAAGCCAGUGGUUAUGAUCUCUUUGGCGCGCAACUUAAUUUGUCAUCUCUGGAGUUGUAACCAGUGUUCAUGUACAGCUCAAGAAAGAGGCAUCAGGAUGUCAAGGAUGGUUUGGUAUUUUUUUUAGAAAGAGGCACCUGCUCAUUGUCCCUAAAAUUAAACUGGUGCCACCCCUGUCGAUAAAUCUGAUGAUUACAUUUUGAAUCGUCAUUUGCACUUGACGUCUCAUUACACAAACCAUAUAUUCUGAAUUGUCGGUGCAUCCUCUGGAGGUUUCUCACAGAAUGCGAGCUCCAAGAUGUGCUUUGGUUUCUUGCUCACCGCGGCUACAGUUUCUACGUGGUCUGCAUCGACGUCUUUCCAAAGCAGCUCUCAAUGUAUCCGAUCGGCCUCCUGCUGCGCGGCUUCUCCCACACUGUGUUGCUGAUCCUUCGUCGCUGGGUGUGCCCUUCGAGAUGCUCGACAUGCUCGCCAACGAAGCGCUCCAGCAGGGGCUCAAGCAGUACUCCAGCUGCAACCACACUCCCGUGGCUCUACAUCGACAGCCAGUUCUUCAACGGUUGUGACAUCACCGUUGGUACAUAUAUAUACACUCUCUGUCUUUCCUUCUCUCGUAAUUUCGGUUGAGGACUUUGAAACCCUCUGUUACAGGCAGUAGAGGCGCAUGGUAUUGGAAUAUGAGUCUGUUAUGUGAGAGACCUGUUUUGUGUAGCAUCAGUCCAUAGAAAUUCGUUCAAUAAACUGACAUAUAUAUA
Hordeum vulgare subsp. vulgare (domesticated barley) is the source of this 1086-nucleotide long non-coding RNA. RefSeq lists it as uncharacterized. The record is from RefSeq and is a predicted model, not a curated record. Lineage: Eukaryota; Viridiplantae; Streptophyta; Magnoliopsida; Poales; Poaceae. The transcript is spliced from 3 exons.